CAGGCAUGAGCCACCUGCUUUUAACUUGUUCAGCUACAAAGGCAUGUCUGUGAAUGCACAACCAUAAUGACUCAUCAUGGGCCCAGAGCUAUAACAAUGAUAAGGUACCAAGCAUCUUACACCAUGUGCGUGUUGAUGAGAAUCAACAUCCUUGCCUGUUCUUGUGAUUUUGUGGCAGAGUAUAGCUUCUUGGGGGCAAGUAUGUAUUCUACACCACUAGGAGCAAGCUUCUUUAUCAUACACUUCUGGGCUUCUCUGGGGAAGCCAAACUCUAAAGGCCUUUUCUGAGGAGUGUCGCAAAUGCUGCCUGCAGUACGAGGCACAUUGCCAGUUCCUGACUGCAUUAGCAGGUUCCAGCUGCCAGGACGCCUCUGAGUGUGUACCUUGUGACAGAAAGGUACUUCUCAGCUGUAGUAAAGGAUGCUCUCAAGGGUACUCUGCAAAGCUUCUGACUGCGAGGCACUUCUCAGUAAAAAGCUUUGUUUUUCAGACCUUUUUAUUUUGUGGGUUUGGUCUUUUCUGUUUUACCUUCUCGUUGCUGUAAUUCUGAUGGAUGAAAGGUACAUUUUGCAGAACUGAACUUCCUGCCUGAAAGGAGCCUUUACAUGGGGAUUAGCCAUCAGUAGGCAUCCGGUCUUAGAGGGUCCUAUGAGUGCUCCAUUGGGCCCGUCGGCCACUUCCCUGGAUCCCCACAGGAACUCAUUCAGAACGAGUCACAUGCUGCUUUGUACCUAGAUGCUUCCUUGUGUACAUCUUGUUUCCAAAAGAAGUAGCCAGCUCUUCGUGGACAGGAACUGUGUCUUACUUUUUUGCCAUCCCUCACCUCAGGCAGCACUGCCAAGAGCAUUCACAGUGACUGUGGAACUCCGUUGAUUGAAUGUUGGCUUGAGUAAGUUCCUGAUGUAGGGGCUGUAGCGGUUGGAAUCAAGCUUCUGCAAUACUCAAGUAGUCCUACUGAAUUACAGUACUGUCAGACCCCCUCUGCACAACCCUGAAGUGGGUCAGAACUCCACACUGUGCCAUAAAGAGGAAAGCUGUCAACAGGGAGGUCUAAGGAAACACCUCCUUAGGUGGAAGGCAGCAAUGGCAUGAGAGCCACCCUCCGGGCCAAAGGUGCAGCCUGACAUUCUCUGCAGAAUUACACAAUAAGGAAACCGAGGCCCGGAACAAUGAAGGAAGCUGAGAGCACACAGGCCGUGGGUGCCCAGGCCUCUCUGAGAAACACUCAGA
RNAcentral lists this long non-coding RNA (1230 nucleotides) under Homo sapiens (human). RNAcentral describes it as "HSALNT0157284". The record is from RNAcentral. Lineage: Eukaryota; Metazoa; Chordata; Mammalia; Primates; Hominidae.